Long non-coding RNA from Manis javanica (Malayan pangolin), 866 nucleotides. RefSeq lists it as uncharacterized. The record is from RefSeq and is a predicted model, not a curated record. NCBI's taxonomy places the organism in Eukaryota, Metazoa, Chordata, Mammalia, Pholidota, Manidae.
AGAAGGAGAGGAACACUCAGCAGUCGGCAGUACUCCAAUAUCCUCCCACGUUCAAACUGUUUGACUAUUUCUAUGAGCAAUUUCAAUGACUCCCUUUGAGAUUCGUCUUGAGAUCAGGAGGAAAACAAGAGUCUGUAACCAAAGUGAAAGCAUGAACAUUGGAAUAAAAUGGUCCUCAGCUGAACAACAGCCAGUUCUCUUAUUAAUGUGUAACCUAAGACGGCUUAUGUGAUGCACCUAGGAAUGGAGAGGACAAAGCGGCAGACUGGAAGCUGUGAACUGGAUCGACAUCAAGGACUCCUCACUAAGACCAACUAGUCAGAAGCAAAGAAGAGACAACAGGUGAACUCCACAUUGAAGAGUGACUGCCAAAGUAGAUUAAAAGAAGCAAGAAGAGGGGUGUUCUGUGGAGGAAAGCUUUGAGACACAUUAGGCUUCCUAAUUGCUCCUGGAGGUCAGAAGUAAUGGCUUUUUGAAGUAAGAAAGUCUGUUCAUACAUCUGGCUCAGUUAUUCUUCAGCAUAUUAAGGCCACCACUGUUUUUCAGUGAAGUCUUUUUCUGAUAUAUUGCUACUUGCUCUUUUGCAAGCCCUCACUAAGAAGAUGCAUAUGAACAAUUCACAAACUUCCCAGCAAAUUAUCCACAGUUUGUCUGUCACACUCAUGCUCUCCUGAAUGUGUACACACCCUCUUCAAGUCUGAUCUAGAACAACAUGCAGGACUUGUCAGUGGAAAGCUGCUUUGAUCACUGGGUGCAUCGAUUAAUUCCAACUCACUGUGGCACACAUGAAUUAGCCUAAAUAAUGAGUCUAGCUCCUUCUGUUGGUGACUGUAGAAAAUGAUAAUAUGUAAUGUUAAAUUAUCUAA